CAUAGUCUAAGAUCCCUUCCCAUGAGGGUUUCCCACAGGAGCCCCAUGAGUUAAGUACGGUGCCAGUUAGGGUCACAGGAGGCCACCAGGAAGAGCAAGUGGGCACAGAGUGAGGCUAGAGGUCACUGACCCACAGAGGUCAGGAAGGGACUGGUACCCCAAACUCAGAGUGGGGGACAGCAGGGAAGGGUGGGGACUGCAGCAAGCCAGGAAGCCCAUGUUCCAUCCAGAGGGGCUUGGCCAGUGGCCAUCACAUACGGAUGUGGAUGCGGAUGUGGAUGCAGAUGUGGAUGCAGAUGUGAACUCAGGAGCCCGGGUACCAGGGAGGUUGGAGACCUUGAUUUUUGCACCCCAUCUCUGUCCUUGCAGUGCUGGCGACUCAAUCAAAACCUUAAAACAUAUGUGUCAGCAGAAUGAAGGAAGCACAUGAGUCGCCCAGACGCAGUCUCGGGGCUGGGUUUAGUUUCUGCAGUAAAAGUCAGCUCUUACACAGCCAGGCUGCCCAAUGACCACAGCCAGAGCCUGUGCUCUGGGCGAAGCCCCUCACGUUCUUGGUUGUCCUGGAAACCAGGCGGGCCAGGCAACGUCCUCCUCCGCAGGAUGUGGAGGAGGAGCAGGUCUGUUGUUGGCCACCGGCUCUGUCCUCUUUCACAGUGCUGCUAGAACAAUGACCACAGAAUGGGGUGUGGCUGGAGUCUGAUGUGUCCCCCCAAGGCCCGAACACGCUCCACAGCCACCACGGCGCCAGCUGACACAGGCCUCCCGCCACCCCACUCCGUCACAGAGCUGCCACAGCACAGCUGCCGGCACCGGGAGCUCCACGCACCGGUGUACCUCACGCCUAUCAUAAGCCACAUGCAGAGUCUGGUGGCCUCAUUGAUCCAUCCUGGGGACCCCGUAACAUCCAUCAUGGUCCUGUCCUUGAAGGGUGCUGUUAAAACCCACCUGCACUUAGAGCAUGUGCCGAGGUGACUGAUACCUGCUUCUGAGACCAGCCAGCCGCCUGCCCUCAGCUUCUCCCGUCACUCCUGCCCGGCACGGAUGGUGGCCCACCAGGAGUCCGUCACAGGGAGCCAGCUCCGGUGCAUCCAGCGCCCAGGGCCCUUGGGGAGCCCCCUGCUGCUCUGCUUUGUCUGGCCAGCGGGAGAGCGGAGGCAAAGAGGACAGCGCAGUGCCCGUGGCCAAGCCUAGAGGUGGCGUAGACUGCGCUCGCAGGCAGUGCCACCUAGAUCCCAGCCACUGGGCACCCCAGCCGCGAGAGCCACCCAGAAAUGUGCCCUCCCUGUGUGCCCAGGAUGAGCGGCAGGCGAGCCUUGGCUGUCCACUGCCCCACGAGGUCUCUGCAGAAAGCAGCUGGGCCAGAGCACCGCAACAGAAGAUUGAGUCGCACACCAAGAGAAAAGGAUUACAGGUGCGCACCACUCUGCCUGGUGUGAGUGCUUAAAUAAAACUGAAAUGUGAAAGAUAUCUUCAAGAUUCAACACUUAACUUUUGGCGGCAGGGAGGGAAGUCCAGGACAAAAUUUCCAGGCAGGCCGCCUGCCCUGGGUUGGUUCUGUGGCAGCUCAGCCCCCAGCUCAUCCCCACCAGUGGACGGCUUUGGGGUGAACUUCUGCGCCAGGAGCCGGUGCGUCUCCUGCCCCCAGAAGCAUCCCGACCCUGGAACAGCGGGGCCUGGGUUCCAAUCAUGACUAUUGUGUGGCCAGUGCAAUAAAGGGUGGC
Chinchilla lanigera (long-tailed chinchilla) is the source of this 1721-nucleotide long non-coding RNA. The record is from Ensembl. NCBI's taxonomy places the organism in Eukaryota, Metazoa, Chordata, Mammalia, Rodentia, Chinchillidae.